Non-coding RNA from Ceratobasidium sp. 414, 108 nucleotides. The record is from the annotation of a GenBank genome assembly. NCBI's taxonomy places the organism in Eukaryota, Fungi, Basidiomycota, Agaricomycetes, Cantharellales, Ceratobasidiaceae.
GCGUAGGUAGUAUAAUGGUUAUUAUCUCGGUUUCCCAUCACAUGGCCCAGUUUGCUGGGAUAACAUCGGUAUGUACCGAGGACCCGAGUUCGAUUCUCGGCCUACGCA